GACGAACGCUGGCGGCGUGCCUGACACAUGCAAGUCGAGCGGGAACCUCAGGAGGGGUAACCCUUCUGAGGGGAGAGCGGCGAACGGGUGAGUAACACGUGGGCAACCUGCCCCGGACGACCGGGACGUAACCCAACGGGAAACCGUACGAGCUAAUAACCGGACGUACUCCGGCGCGAUCGCAUGGUCGCGCCGGGAAAGGACUCCGACGGUCCGGGACGUGGGCCCGGCCGGCCUAUCAGCUUGUUGGUGGGGUAACGGCCCACCAAGG
RNAcentral lists this ribosomal RNA (271 nucleotides) under uncultured bacterium. Its description in RNAcentral is "partial 16S ribosomal RNA". It matches the Rfam family "Bacterial small subunit ribosomal RNA", at positions 28 to 273 of the family's 1533-position model. The record is from RNAcentral.